Molecule: unclassified non-coding RNA, 383 nt
Filed under: uncultured Wallemia
Lineage: Eukaryota; Fungi; Basidiomycota; Wallemiomycetes; Wallemiales; Wallemiaceae
Description: sequence contains ITS1
Rfam family: 5.8S ribosomal RNA (bases 1-103)
Source: RNAcentral
GAAAUGCGAUACGUGAUGUGAUCUGCAUUCUCGUGAAUCAUCGAAUCUUUGAACGCAAAUGGCGCUCGACCACUCGUGGCCGAGCAUGUCUGUUUGAGGGUCAGUUAUACCUGGUUUACCCUUUCCCUUCAUCGGGGGGGAAAGAGUGAGACGAUGGGAGUUCAGGUUUCUCUCGGGAAAGCUGAUCUCCUGAAAUGCAUAUCUUCGUUGCAAGCCCGGAAGCAAAUCGAGUUAUGGUCCGAGGCCCCGACCUUUUUUCACGGGGCCGAUCACAAACGGAAGCAAAACUCUUGUUUUCCUUUGCAAACAAAAAGGCCUUUGAAACCUUUUUAACCCAAAAACUAAAUGACCUCAAAUCAGGCAAGAGCACCCGCUGAACUUAA